This 191-nucleotide ribosomal RNA is filed under the name bacterium. RNAcentral's name for it is "partial 16S ribosomal RNA". It matches the Rfam family "Bacterial small subunit ribosomal RNA", at positions 1249 to 1533 of the family's 1533-position model. The record is from RNAcentral.
GCGAAACCGCGAGGUGGAGCUAAUCUCAAAAAACUGGCCUCAGUUCGGAUUGCAGGCUGCAACUCGCCUGCAUGAAGUUGGAUUCGCUAGUAAUCGCGCAUCAGCCACGGCGCGGUGAAUACGUUCCCGAUCCUUGUACUCACAACUAAACGCGCCCGGCAGCUUAUAUAUCUAAGUGGUUUAAAUCCACU